Molecule: ribosomal RNA, 2896 nt
Filed under: Clostridioides difficile
Lineage: Bacteria; Bacillati; Bacillota; Clostridia; Peptostreptococcales; Peptostreptococcaceae
Also listed under: 1 other name
Description: bacterial LSU rRNA
Rfam family: Bacterial large subunit ribosomal RNA
Source: RNAcentral
UCAAGUUAUUAAGGGUGCAGGGCGGAUGCCUUGGCACUAGGAGCCGAUGAAGGACGUGAUAAGCUGCGAUAAGCUUCGGGGAGUUGCACGUAAACUUUGAUCCGAAGAUUUCCGAAUGAGGAAACUCACUUAGAGUAAUGUCUAAGUAUCAUUAAGUGAAUACAUAGCUUAAUGAGGGGAACUCAGGGAACUGAAACAUCUAAGUACCUGAAGGAAGAGAAAGAAAUUCGAUUCCGUAAGUAGCGGCGAGCGAACGCGGAUUAGCCCAAACCAAUAAAGUUUUCUUUGUUGGGGUUGCGGACAUAUCAUAACGAAGAGGUAUCGUAAUUGAAGAGGUUUGGAAAGACCCACCACAGAAGGUAAUAGUCCUGUAUGUUAAACGAGAAGACUUUAGAUAUGAUCCAGAGUACCACGGGACACGUGAAACCCUGUGGGAAGCAGGAGGGACCACCCUCCAAGGCUAAAUACUACCUAGUGACCGAUAGCGUAUAGUACCGUGAGGGAAAGGUGAAAAGAACCCCGGGAGGGGAGUGAAAUAGAACCUGAAACCCUGCACUUACAAGCUGUGGAAGCACAUUUCUUGUGUGACCGCGUACUUUUUGUAGAACGGGCCAACGAGUUACGUUAAGUAGCAAGGUUAAGCACUUAAGGUGCGGAGCCGUAGCGAAAGCGAGUUUUAACUGAGCGUUCAGUUACUUGACGUAGACCCGAAACCGGGCGACCUACCCAUGAGCAGGAUGAAGCGAAAGUAAAAUUUCGUGGAGGUCCGAACCCACGAGCGUUGAAAAGCUCGGGGAUGACUUGUGGGUAGCGGUGAAAUUCCAAUCGAGCCCGGAGAUAGCUGGUUCUCCCCGAAAUAGCUUUAGGGCUAGCCUCAAGGUGAGAGAUACGGAGGUAGAGCACUGAAUGUCCUAGGGGGUAUUGCACCUACCGAAGACUAUCAAACUCCGAAUGCCGUCAUCUUAUACUUGGGAGUCAGACUGUGGGUGAUAAGAUUCAUAGUCGAAAGGGCAACAGCCCAGAUCGUCAGCUAAGGUCCCUAAAUGUAAGUUAAGUGGUAAAGGAUGUGGGAUUGCACAGACAACCAGGAUGUUGGCUUAGAAGCAGCCACUCAUUCAAAGAGUGCGUAAUAGCUCACUGGUCGAGUGAUCCUGCGCCGAAGAUUUCCGGGGCUAAAACUUACUACCGAAGCUACGGCAUCAGUAAUGAUGGGUAGGGGAGCUUCCCAUACGGGUUGAAGCAUGACCGUAAGGACAUGUGGACAGUAUGGGAGUGAGAAUGUUGGCAUGAGUAGCGAGAUGUGGGUGAGAAUCCCACAGGCCGUAAACCCAAGGUUUCCAGGGGAAGGUUCGUCCGCCCUGGGUUAGUCGGGACCUAAGCUGAGGCCGAAAGGCGUAGGUGAUGGACAACAGGUUGAUAUUCCUGUACUACCGAUAACCGUUUGAGAGAAGGGAUGACACAGUAGGAUAAGCUAAGCACACUGUUGGUUAUGUGUGCCCAAGCAUUGAGGCAGUCAAAGUAGGCAAAUCCGCUUUGAUAAUGCUGGGAUGUGAUGGGGAGCGAAAUUUAGUAGCGAAGUAGCUGAUUUCACACUGUCAAGAAAAGUCUCUAUCGAGGUUAAAGGUACCCGUACCGCAAACCGACACAGGUGGGUGAGGAGAGUAUCCUAAGGCCAGCGAGAGAACUGUUGUUAAGGAACUCGGCAAAAUGACCCCGUAACUUAGGGAUAAGGGGUGCCACCAUCAGGUGGCCGCAGAGAAUAGGCCCAAGCGACUGUUUACCAAAAACAUAGGUUUCUGCUAAGUCGCAAGACGAUGUAUAGGAGCUGACGCCUGCCCGGUGCUGGAAGGUUAAGGGGAUCUGUUAGAGCAAUCGAAGCAGUGAACUUAAGCCCCAGUAAACGGCGGCCGUAACUAUAACGGUCCUAAGGUAGCGAAAUUCCUUGUCGGGUAAGUUCCGACCCGCACGAAAGGCGUAACGAUUUGGGCACUGUCUCAACAACAGACUCGGUGAAAUUGUAAUUCCGGUGAAGAUGCCGGAUACCUGCGACAGGACGGAAAGACCCCAUGGAGCUUUACUGUAGCUUGACAUUGGGUCUUGGUACUACAUGUACAGGAUAGGUGGGAGGCUUUGAAACCAGGACGCCAGUUUUGGCGGAGCCAUCCUUGGGAUACCACCCUUGUAGUACUGGGACUCUAACCAUAGACCAUGAAUCUGGUCUUGGGACACUGUCAGGUGGGCAGUUUGACUGGGGCGGUCGCCUCCCAAAAGGUAACGGAGGCGCUCAAAGGUUCUCUCAGUACGGUCGGAAAUCGUACGUAGAGUGUAAAGGCAAAAGAGAGCUUGAUUGCAAGACAUACAGGUCGAGCAAGGAUGAAAAUCGGACUUAGUGAUCCGGUGGUUCUGCGUGGAAGGGCCAUCGCUCAACGGAUAAAAGCUACCCUGGGGAUAACAGGCUUAUCUCCCCCAAGAGUCCACAUCGACGGGGAGGUUUGGCACCUCGAUGUCGGCUCAUCACAUCCUGGGGCUGUAGUAGGUCCCAAGGGUUGGGCUGUUCGCCCAUUAAAGUGGUACGCGAGCUGGGUUCAGAACGUCGUGAGACAGUUCGGUCCCUAUCCGUCGCAGGCGUAGGAAAUUUGAGAAGACCUGUCCUUAGUACGAGAGGACCGGGAUGGACGUACCUCUGGUGUACCAGUUGUCCUGCCAAGGGCAUGGCUGGGUAGCUAUGUACGGAAUGGAUAAGCGCUGAAAGCAUCUAAGCGCGAAGCCAACUUCAAGAUAAGAUUUCCCACCGCAAGGGUAAGACCCCAGAAAGACUAUCUGGUUGAUAGGUCGAAGGUGUAAGUGCAGCAAUGUAUUUAGCUUAUCGAUACUAAUAGGUCGAGGACUUGACCAA